Molecule: ribosomal RNA, 425 nt
Filed under: uncultured bacterium
Lineage: Bacteria
Description: partial 16S ribosomal RNA
Rfam family: Bacterial small subunit ribosomal RNA
Source: RNAcentral
GUGGGGAAUAUUGGACAAUGGGCGAAAGCCUGAUCCAGCCAUGCCGCGUGAGUGAUGAAGGCCUUAGGGUUGUAAAGCUCUUUCGUCAGGGAAGAUAAUGACGGUACCUGAAGAAGAAGCCCCGGCUAACUUCGUGCCAGCAGCCGCGGUAAUACGAAGGGGGCUAGCGUUGUUCGGAAUUACUGGGCGUAAAGCGCACGUAGGCGGAUAUUUAAGUCAGGGGUGAAAUCCCAGAGCUCAACUCUGGAACUGCCUUUGAUACUGGGUAUCUCGAGUAUGGAAGAGGUGAGUGGAAUUCCGAGUGUAGAGGUGAAAUUCGUAGAUAUUCGGAGGAACACCAGUGGCGAAGGCGGCUCACUGGUCCAUUACUGACGCUGAGGUGCGAAAGCGUGGGGAGCAAACAGGAUUAGAUACCCUAGUAGUCC